This 490-nucleotide ribosomal RNA is filed under the name uncultured bacterium. RNAcentral's name for it is "partial 16S ribosomal RNA". It matches the Rfam family "Bacterial small subunit ribosomal RNA", at positions 30 to 507 of the family's 1533-position model. The record is from RNAcentral.
AUUGAACGCUGGCGGCAGGCCUAACACAUGCAAGUCGAACGGUAACAGGAAGCAGCUUGCUGCUUUGCUGACGAGUGGCGGACGGGUGAGUAAUGUCUGGGAAACUGCCCGAUGGAGGGGGAUAACUACUGGAAACGGUAGCUACUACCGCAUAACGUCGCAAGAACAAAGAGGGGGACCUUAGGGCCUCUUGCCAUCGGAUGUGCCCAGAUGGGCUUGGCUAGUAGGUGGGGUAACGGCUCACCUAGGCGACGAUCCCUAGCUGGUCUGAGGGGAUGACCGGCCACACUGGAACUGAGACACGGUCCAGGCUCCUGCGGGAGGCAGCAGUGGGGAAUAUUGCACAAUGGGCGCGAGCCUGAUGCAGCCAUGCCGCGUGUAUGAAGAAGGCCUUCGGGUUGUAAAGUACUUUCAGCGGGGAGGAAGGGAGUAAAGUUAAUACCUUUGCUCAGUGACGUUACCCGCAGAAGAAGCACCGGCUAACUCCGUG